AAAAUGAUAGUACAUGUGUAGGUCUAAUGAAGAGAUCAAUCCAUGGAUAAUGGAUGGAAGAGAUCUACAUGAAUGUUAUGUACCAGACAAGAUCCAUGGAUCACAAGGACUGUGGCCUCCACAAACAUGAACGCAGUGUUACGCUUUCACGCAGUUUUCACCAUGGUCCUCACACAGACACGGAAUGAGAAAGGAAUAGACUGUGAAAAGGUGAGUCCACAGCUUGAUUUUAUCCAUUUACCCGACUGUUAAGUUGACCUUGUGAAGAUUGAUAAAUUUAUUGAUCUCACAGAUAGCUACUAAGCGCAUACCUUACUCAUAUACUCACCCUGUUAGACUGGUUCAACUUUCAAGGUGCAUAUAUAUACACAAGAGAUCAAUUGAGGUAGCCACGCACAUUGAAGUUCAUGUGACACAUGUAAUGUGUUGAUCUGUAACAGUAGAUCAAACUAAUAAGUUUAUAUGGUCUGCCUUAAUUCGAUUAAUAUUCCCAUGUGACUAGAUGUUGUGCCAGUGCUUCCUCCUGUACGUACCUGAUAAAUAACAUGCAUUAUAAUUAUGAUUGGGUAGACACAUUUGCAUGGAUCACCUUCUUACUCGUUCUGAUCAGAUGUUGUGUGUAGGUCCACGCCUGCACCUGUACAUGGCCACAAGGUGCAUGGCUCUCUUUUAAACUUAGAGAUGUUGAUGUAACCUUUCAGUGCUAAGAAAUUAUUUGUUGACUGUGUAUUCAGUGCUAAGAAAUUAUUUGUUGACUGUGUAUUUGGUUCCAUUAUUAUGAAAACAUCAGUUUUCCUUUCGAAAAUAUUGUGCGAUAAUUAUUUAUGCAAGUAACUUGUUUAUCGAUUAAACGCCAUGGUUUCAAUGGGAAUUGUACAGGCUUUGAAUCAAUUGUAGAGCUGCUCGUAUAAAUAGUAUCAUGCGCACAUUAUUAAUUAAUUUCUAGCACUACAGCACUACAUAUGAUAAGAUAUGUGAUAUGUGUAUGCUUAUACCUAUGCAUAAAAUAAUGUUAUUAUUUUGUUAGAAUCUAUAGACUAUAUGUCUCCCUU
Long non-coding RNA from Halichondria panicea, 1052 nucleotides. RefSeq lists it as uncharacterized. The record is from RefSeq and is a predicted model, not a curated record. The transcript is spliced from 3 exons. NCBI's taxonomy places the organism in Eukaryota, Metazoa, Porifera, Demospongiae, Suberitida, Halichondriidae.